Platichthys flesus (European flounder) is the source of this 259-nucleotide long non-coding RNA. RefSeq lists it as uncharacterized. The transcript is spliced from 3 exons. NCBI's taxonomy places the organism in Eukaryota, Metazoa, Chordata, Actinopteri, Pleuronectiformes, Pleuronectidae. The record is from RefSeq and is a predicted model, not a curated record.
ACUGAGAGGAGUCUACCUUGUUCCACGAUGCCAGCGGUGGUACUAGCUGCAACACUGAUGGCAGCGGGGGCUGUGGUCUGCCGACCAACUGAAACACAACACAAUGCAGAAACACAUGGCAGCACUCACCAGAGAAGUUCCUGGAGACGAGCAUGGUGGUCAAAAUGGCCCCCUGUCAGGGUAAAGCAGAAGACACAGAAUUAUGCAAGAACUGCCGAAUGGAUUUCCAUGAAACUUGGUAUUUGACCAGGCAAAGAAA